Molecule: ribosomal RNA, 432 nt
Filed under: uncultured bacterium
Lineage: Bacteria
Description: bacterial SSU rRNA
Rfam family: Bacterial small subunit ribosomal RNA
Source: RNAcentral
CGGCGUGGAUAAGACAUGCAAGUCGAACGCGACUUAUCUGGUUAGCAAUAACUAGGUAAGUUGAGUGGCGAAAGGGUGCGUAACACGUGGGAAUUUACCAAAAAGUGGGGAAUAGCUCGGCGAAAGCCGAAUUAAUACCGCAUGUGAUCGAAAGAUCAAAGUCGGGGACCGCAAGGCCUGACGCUUUUUGAGAAGCCCGCGGCCCAUCAGCUAGUUGGCGGGGUAACGGCCCACCAAGGCGAUGACGGGUAGCUGGUCUGAGAGGACGACCAGCCACACUGGAACUGAGACACGGUCCAGACACCUACGGGUGGCAGCAGUCGAGAAUUUUUCACAAUGGACGAAAGUCUGAUGGAGGGACGCCGCGUGGAGGAUGAAGGUUUUCGGAUUGUAAAAUCGUGUCACUGCAGAACAAGGAUGCGUUUAUGAAUA